This 500-nucleotide ribosomal RNA is filed under the name uncultured bacterium. Its description in RNAcentral is "partial 16S ribosomal RNA". It matches the Rfam family "Bacterial small subunit ribosomal RNA", at positions 30 to 523 of the family's 1533-position model. The record is from RNAcentral.
AUUGAACGCUGGCGGAAUGCUUUACACAUGCAAGUCGAACGGCAGCACGGACUUCGGUCUGGUGGCGAGUGGCGAACGGGUGAGUAACAUAUCGGAACGUAUCCAAUAAUGGGGGAUAACGAGUCGAAAGAUUCGCUAAUACCGCAUACGCCCUACGGGGGAAAGCUGGGGACCUUCGGUCCUGGCGUUAAUGGAGCGGCAGCUAUCUAAUUAGCUAGCUGGUGAGGUAAAGGCUCACCAAGGCGACGAUCAGUAGCUGGUCUGAGAGGACGACCAGCCACACUGGAACUGAGACACGGUCCAGACUCCUACGGGAGGCAGCAGUGGGGAAUUUUGGACAAUGGGCGCAAGCCUGAUCCAGCCAUUCCGCGUGAGUGAAGAAGGCCUUCGGGUUGUAAAGCUCUUUCGCAAGGGAAGAAAACUUAGCCACUAACAUUGGUUGAGGUUGACGGUACCUUGAUAAGAAGCACCGGCUAACUACGUGCCAGCAGCCGCGGUAA